AUACACUGAAAAAAAAAUAUUAGCGUUGUAUACGAAUUGCAUUGGUGAACGCAAAAUUUGCGUGCGACAACAAUUUAUUUACGCUCCAAGAAAAUAAAUUGUGCCCUGACCACAACUAUGUACGCUACGGAUAAAGUCUUGAAUUCGUGGCGGCGGAAAAUCGGUUGAUUUGGGCCGGGCACCAAUUUAUUUGUGCACGACGCAAAUAUAUUCGCGCCGUCCGGUAACAAGUUCGUGCCUACCCAUUCCCGUGUCCGUUAAAGAAAAAAUGGCGUCGGGUCGGCCACAGCUUCAUCGCGUCGGAAAAACUGAGGAGACUUCGUGGAAAGAAAUAGUUUUAAUUCAAUAAAUGAGAGCUCUCCUGUUUUGAAAUUGCCGCGAACUAAUAUUUACGCAUAUGAUUGGUGUCCGUGAGCCUUCGGCCUUGACUAAAUCCAUCGAUGGACUUGGACAGCUGCUGCUGCUGCACUGUGGCAGCGAGCCUCUAGACAGGUUUGAGAUGAGAUCCGUUCGCAUUCGGGAUGGAGAGACCUAUGGCGAGAAUAUGUAACAAAUCCGUCCCUCAACUGGACCAAUGGUGCCUGUAAGUAACAUUUUCAUUAUUUUUCUCUUCUUACAAGUCCUCGAUAUGCCUAUCUUUAAAUUACAUUUUGGACCUUUUCUCGAAUUUGAGUGAAUGAACAUAUGUAUUAUUCAAAAAUGCCAACACCCAAAAAGGCAAGCAAAUGAAUUGAAAAAGACUAUAGUUAAAAUUGAAAUUUAAUUGAAACAAAUAUGAAAUGUAAAGUUCUUGAGUGUUAGAAUCUCAAGAAGUGUUGCCCACGUUUCCAUAAACUUUAUUAUAUGUAGCUUUAUUAUUGAUUUAUUUAUAAAGAUUUAUUGAUAGUAGAUUUAUUUAUCAUAGAUUUAUUUAUUCCAAAAUACCAACACACAAAAAGGCAAGCAAAUAGAUUGAAGAAGACUAUAGUUAAAAUUGAAAUUACUUAACAAAGAUACCGGACAUUUGUGUUAGUAAUUGAAAAACUAGAUUUUCCCGGCUUUUUCGUUUCUCUAUUCCCGGGUGAUAAAAUUUCAUUAUAUUUCUUUGGAAAGAUUUCCAGAAAUUUUAGAAAUUCAUGAAAUAUUAGAAAUUUAUAAUUAAGAAUUAGAUCAAGGUAUCUUUCAUUUAAGAGCGUAUUGCAUACCU
This 1186-nucleotide long non-coding RNA is filed under the name Bemisia tabaci. RNAcentral describes it as "lncRNA ENSSSA2NGG004947". The record is from RNAcentral. Lineage: Eukaryota; Metazoa; Arthropoda; Insecta; Hemiptera; Aleyrodidae.